AACGCAACUUGCGCCCUCUGGUAUUCCGGAGGGCAUGCCUGUUUGAGUGUCAUGUAGACUCAAUCCCUCGGGUUUCUGAGGAGGUUGGAUUUGGGCGCUUGCCUUCUGGCUCGCCUUAAAGGACUUAGCAGGAUAGCACUGUAGUCGACGUAAUAAGUCUCGUCGGUGAAAGUGUGAUGUCUGCUUAUAAAUUGCCCUUGGGCACUUUUGACUCUGACCUCAAAUCAGGUAGGACUACCCGCUGAACUUAA
RNAcentral lists this unclassified non-coding RNA (251 nucleotides) under uncultured fungus. RNAcentral describes it as "partial contains 5.8S ribosomal RNA, internal transcribed spacer 2, and large subunit ribosomal RNA". The stretch from base 1 to 52 matches the Rfam family "5.8S ribosomal RNA", at positions 103 to 154 of the family's 154-position model. The record is from RNAcentral. Lineage: Eukaryota; Fungi.